This 496-nucleotide ribosomal RNA is filed under the name uncultured bacterium. RNAcentral describes it as "bacterial SSU rRNA". It matches the Rfam family "Bacterial small subunit ribosomal RNA", at positions 44 to 518 of the family's 1533-position model. The record is from RNAcentral.
GUGCCUAACACAUGCAAGUCGAACGGAGAUUAACGCUGAUGAGGCGUUCGGCGGAUUCUUGUUAAAUCUUAGUGGCGGACGGGUGGAGUAACGCGGUGGGCGAACCUCGCCUCAUACUGGGGGAGUAACAGUGGAAACGACUGUUAAUACCGCAUAAGCGCACUAAAGUCGCAUGACUCAGUGUGAAAAACUCCGGUGGUAUGAGAUGGGCCCGCGUCAGAUUAGCUAGUUGGUGGGGUAAAGGCCUACCAAGGCGACGAUCUGUAGCCGGACUGAGAGGUCGGACGGCCACAUUGGGACUGAGACACGGCCCAAACUCCUACGGGAGGCAGCAGUGGGGGAUAUUGCACAAUGGAGGAAACUCUGAUGCAGCGACGCCGCGGUGAGUGAAGAAGUAUUUCGGUAUGUAAAGCUCUAUCAGCAGGGAAGAAAGGCUCGUAAGAGAGAUGACGGUACCUGACUAAGAAGCCCCGGCUAACUACGUGCCAGCCGCCGC